This is an RNA transcript of Myotis lucifugus (little brown bat), 2049 nucleotides long. It is a transcript of the gene named coiled-coil domain containing 115, with no coding region annotated. The transcript is spliced from 5 exons. NCBI's taxonomy places the organism in Eukaryota, Metazoa, Chordata, Mammalia, Chiroptera, Vespertilionidae. The record is from RefSeq and is a predicted model, not a curated record.
GUGAUUGGGCGACCUGGAAGGAGACUGGCUCCAGAUUAGAGUGCGGUGGGCCAUGGCCGCAGCCGAUUUACGGGCGGAGCUGGACUCGCUGCUGCUGCAGCUGCUCUGGGACCUGGAAGAGCUGGAGUCAAAGCGGGUGGCGCUGAACGCCCGGGUGGAGGAGGGCUGGCUUUCGCUCUCCAAAGCUCGCUAUGCCAUGGGCGCCAAGUCGGUAGGGCCCCUGCAAUAUGCCUCCCGCAUGGAGCCCCAGGUCUGCGUCAGCACCAAGUGAGGAGCCUUGCCUGCUGAAUCGGGUGGGUGGGGAAUGCGCAGGGUGGGGCUGUCAAAGAUCCAUCCUCCCUUCUCUUUCUUCAGCGAGGCACAAAAUGGACUCCAGAAGUUUCGUGUGCUCUGCGAAGGCGCAAGGCCCUUACCAGGAUUCCAGAGCCCGAGGCCUUCUCAGCCUCCCCAAACCCUCUGAACUGGUUUGGAAUCCUGGUUCCACAUAGCCUACGGCAAGCCCAAGCCAGCUUCCAGGAGGAGCAUUUUUUAUCAGCUGGAUUCUCUGUAACCUGCUUGACCUCUGCUGUGGCCCACAUCAAAAGAGCUGUCAUUUUCAGAGGAUAAUCUAUGUCCUGAAAUCUGCUAUGGACUGAAUUGUGCCACCACCCCAAACUUAUCUGAUGAAGUUCUAACCACCAAUGAGACUAUAUUUAGAGAUGCAGCCCAUAAGAAGGUAAUAAAGGUUCAAAUAGGUCAUAAGGGUGGGUCUUAACCUGAUAGAACUGGUGUCCUUACAAGAAGAGGAAGAAAUAUGAGUGCUUGUCCUCUCCAGACACCCACAUAUAUGAGAGGCCACGUGAGCACACAGUGAGAAGGCAGCCAUCUAUAAGCCAGGAAGAGAAUUCUCACCAGAAACCAAACCUGCCAACAGCUUUGUCUUGAACUUCUGGCCUCCAGGACUAUAAGGAAAUGAGUUUCUGUUUUUUAGACUACCUAGUGGCAUUUGUUAAGGCAUCUGUGGUAUUUUGUAACAGCAGCCCAGCAGACUAACAGUGUUAACAGGGCUGAUAAACAUACUCAAACCCACCUGGACUUGUAUUAAGAAAUCUUUCCUACAUAAAGUUAAGAACCCACACACUAUAGGCUGGCCUGAGGCAGAUCUGCUGUGGGCCAGCCCAUGUCCUGUAACAGAAUGGUGGAACUUCAAGGCCUACUCUGAAAAACUACUCAGACAGUCUUCCCAGUCUCAGAGGUCCUGAGCUCUGCUGCACUAUUGUCCUCUCACAAUAGCAAGGGGAUUGUAAAUCAUCUAUAAACUUCUCUGCAGUAUACUGCCUGGCUGUAUGUAAUUUCACAGGAGACUCCAGCACCUCACCAUGUUAUGGAAUUGCAAUGUUGCUAGUUUUUUUUAAAGAUACGUUUUGUUGAUAUUAAAGAGUGAGGAAGGGAGAUAGAAACAUCAAUGUGAGAGAGAGAAAUCGAUCAGCUGCCUCCUGCAUGUGCCCCGACUCUGGAUUGAAUAUGAAACUUGGUUAUAUGUCCUGACCAGGAAUCGAACCCACCACCUUCUGGCAUUGGAACAUUGCUCCAACCACAGAACCACACUGGACAGGGCACAAUGUUGCUAGAUUUAAAGAGGAGCUUUUUCUAAUUUAAUUGUUUAUUGUUACCUUUGUGUAAGAUACCUAAGCUUGUAAUACCCUUGUUUUAAGUAUAGUUGUACAAGGUCCCUACUGAAGCAACUUCUUAUGUUUUAGUGUGAACCAGAUGAAAUGACUGUUUUGGAGGUCAAAAAAUGAUCCAAUAUCAGCAAUUUCAUAAAUGCAGUUGCCCCUCAUCCCUCCCUCCUCUAUCCCACUUGGUAACUCAUGCCCCCCUCUGAUGGCUCCAGGUCCCUAACUGUGAAAAGGGUUAAGUAAUUAGUUUAAUACUGGAAGGGAUAAGGUCUAGAGAGGAUAGAAGCAUCAUGGCCUGAAGAAUUAAAACAACCGUAAACCAAGGACAGAGGUAUUUCUAGCCUGAGCAGCUAGGAGAGUUAUAGGGGUAAUAAAACAUUUCUGGGGGGGG